This 118-nucleotide ribosomal RNA is filed under the name Pteropus alecto (black flying fox). The record is from RNAcentral. Lineage: Eukaryota; Metazoa; Chordata; Mammalia; Chiroptera; Pteropodidae.
GUCUACAGCCAUGCCACCCUGAACAAGCCCGAUCCCGUCUGAUCUUGGAAGCUGAGCAGGGUCAGGCCUGGUUAGUACUGGGAUGGGAGACCACCUAGGAAGACCAGUGCUGUAGGUG